This 499-nucleotide ribosomal RNA is filed under the name uncultured bacterium. RNAcentral's name for it is "bacterial SSU rRNA". It matches the Rfam family "Bacterial small subunit ribosomal RNA", at positions 1010 to 1518 of the family's 1533-position model. The record is from RNAcentral.
GAUUGGCCAGCAAUGGUCUUCGGCGAGGUGCUGCAUGGUUGUCGUCAGCUCGUGCCGUGAGGUGUCGGCUUAAGUGCCAUAACGAGCGCAACCCCCACCGACAGUUGCUAACUGGUCAAGCAGAGGACUCUGUCGGGACUGCCGGCGCAAGCUGCGAGGAAGGCGGGGAUGACGUCAAAUCAGCACGGCCCUUACGUCCGGGGCGACACACGUGUUACAAUGGCAGGUACAGCGGGAUGCCAUGGGGCGACCCAGAGCGGAACCCGAAAACCUGUCUCAGUUCGGAUUGGAGUCUGCAACCCGACUCCAUGAAGCUGGAUUCGCUAGUAAUCGCGCAUCAGCCACGGCGCGGUGAAUACGUUCCCGGGCCUUGUACACACCGCCCGUCAAGCCAUGGGAGCCGGGGGUGCCUGAAGGCCGUGACCGCGAGGAGCGGCCUAGGGUAAAACUGGUGACUGGGGCUAAGUCGUAACAAGGUAGCCGUACCGGAAGGUGCGGU